UCGCAUAUAUAUCAACAUAUGUGUAACUCCAUCUAUUGAAAAAAAUCCGCAUUAUGUGCUAGAGCAAUGUCUGUUCUUUUCCUCUACAUUGAAAGGACUGUUUAUCCUCUUAAAUGUAUUCAUAAAGUCAGCACAUUA
This is a small nucleolar RNA of Myotis daubentonii (Daubenton's bat), 138 nucleotides long. RefSeq annotates it as small nucleolar RNA SNORA22. NCBI's taxonomy places the organism in Eukaryota, Metazoa, Chordata, Mammalia, Chiroptera, Vespertilionidae. The record is from RefSeq and is a predicted model, not a curated record.